Molecule: ribosomal RNA, 292 nt
Filed under: uncultured bacterium
Lineage: Bacteria
Description: partial 16S ribosomal RNA
Rfam family: Bacterial small subunit ribosomal RNA
Source: RNAcentral
GUGUCAGCAGCCGCGGUAAUACGGAGGGUGCAAGCGUUAUCCGGAUUCACUGGGUUUAAAGGGUGCGUAGGUGGGCAGGUAAGUCAGUGGUGAAAUCUUUGGGCUUAACCCGAAAACUGCCAUUGAUACUAUUUGUCUUGAAUAUUGUGGAGGUCAGCGGAAUAUGUCAUGUAGCGGUGAAAUGCUUAGAUAUGACAUAGAACACCAAUUGCGAAGGCAGCUGGCUACACAUAUAUUGACACUGAUGCACGAAAGCGUGGGGAUCAAACAGGAUUAGAAACCCUGGUAGUCC